Molecule: non-coding RNA, 109 nt
Filed under: Brevundimonas abyssalis
Lineage: Bacteria; Pseudomonadati; Pseudomonadota; Alphaproteobacteria; Caulobacterales; Caulobacteraceae
Also listed under: 1 other name
Description: TPP sequence
Rfam family: TPP riboswitch aptamer (THI element)
About the family: Vitamin B(1) in its active form thiamin pyrophosphate (TPP) is an essential coenzyme that is synthesised by coupling of pyrimidine and thiazole moieties in bacteria.
Source: RNAcentral
GCCUGUUCUCCCGGGGGUCGCGCUUGAGCGGCUGAGAUAGAGGUGUCCCUCUGACCGGUCGAACCUGAUCCGGGUCAUGCCGGCGAAGGGACGGGAACGGGCGGCCCUC